RNAcentral lists this unclassified non-coding RNA (528 nucleotides) under Zea mays. RNAcentral's name for it is "misc RNA Zm00001eb398640". The record is from RNAcentral. Lineage: Eukaryota; Viridiplantae; Streptophyta; Magnoliopsida; Poales; Poaceae.
CUGUCGCACGCGUGGCAGAUCUCCGGCGAGGAGGACGACCGCGCGAACACCGACGAGGAGGACGGGCGCGCAGCCACCAGGGACGCAGGCACGACUUCUCAUCGGAAGGAGGAGAAGAGCAGGCGCGGCUGUCGACUGGACGGACGAUCGCACGACCACCGACGAGGAAAACGAGCGCGCAGUCACCAGGCACGGGCGCGCAGCCACCGGGGACGCAGGCACGACUUCUCAUCGAAAGGAGAAGAAGAGCAUGCGCGGCUGCCGGCUGGACGGACGACUGCGCGACCACCGAUGAGGAGGACGGGCGUGCAGCCACCGGGGACGCAGGCACGACAGCUCAUCGAAAGGAGGAGAAGAGCACGCGCGUCUGCUACCGGCUGGACGGACGACCGCGUGACCACUGACGAGGAAGACGGCCGCGCAGCCACCAGGGACGAUGCGGCUCGAACGACGACGACUAGGUGGACCUCACGGUGCUCGACGACGGUGGCAGGUUCGUCUCGGUCGUCUUGCUCGCCGUGCUCCUAG